RNAcentral lists this ribosomal RNA (253 nucleotides) under uncultured bacterium. Its description in RNAcentral is "partial 16S ribosomal RNA". It matches the Rfam family "Bacterial small subunit ribosomal RNA", at positions 524 to 776 of the family's 1533-position model. The record is from RNAcentral.
UACAGAGGUCUCGAGCGUUGUUCGGAUUCAUUGGGCGUAAAGGGCGCGUAGGCGGCGGGGUAAGUCUGGUGUGAAAUCUCGGAGCUCAACUCCGAAAUUGCACUGGAUACUGCUCUGCUAGAGGGCUGGAGAGGAGAUCGGAAUUCACGGUGUAGCAGUGAAAUGCGUAGAUAUCGUGAGGAAGACCAGUGGCGAAGGCGGAUCUCUGGACAGCGCCUGACGCUGAGGCGCGAAGGCUAGGGGAGCAAACGGG